Sordaria brevicollis is the source of this 109-nucleotide non-coding RNA. The record is from the annotation of a GenBank genome assembly. NCBI's taxonomy places the organism in Eukaryota, Fungi, Ascomycota, Sordariomycetes, Sordariales, Sordariaceae.
GCCUGCUUAGCAUAGUGGCUAAUGCGUUGCACUUGUAUAACCACUCCGCUCUUCGGAACGGAGCAACGACGACAUGCAAAGAUCACAGGUUCGAUUCCUGUAGUAGGCA